CUUUUCUCACACUUGCUGUAAUAAUGGAGUUGUUCAUCAUCACUCUUCUGCAUCUUCUUAUGGAGAUUCAGUCAUAUAGUUUUCCUCAGGCAAAGUUGUCAGUGUCUUCUUCAGUUAUCAUGGACAUAGACACAGUACAGCUGGACUGUACUAACAUUGAGAAUCAGAAGAUGGACGAGUGUUACUUCAUAAUAGAUGGAAGAGGAAGUAAACAGAGCAGAUCAUGUCAACUAUCACUCACUGGAUCUGACAUCAUUACUUGGUCGGGAGGUCAGAGGUCAGCGGUCAUCAUAGCCUGCUACUACACUGUGAAUAUAUCACAAGAUACCAUAAAAUCUCCAUAUUCAGAUUCAGUUACAGUAACAAUCACAAGAAAAGUUCAGAGUUUUCCUCAGGCAAAGUUGUCAGUGUCUUCUUCAGUUAUCAUGGACAGAGACACAGUACAGCUGGACUGUAGUAACAGUGAAAAUUACAAGAUGAACGAGUGUUACUUCAUAGUAGAUGAUAGCAGAAGUAAACAGAGCAGAUCAUGUCAACUAUCACUCACUGGAACUGACAUCAGUAUUUGGUCAGGAGGUCAAAGGUCAUCUGUCAUCAUAACCUGCUUCUACACUGUGUAUAUAUCACAAGAUACCAUAACAUCUCCACGUUCAGAUCCAGUAACAGUAACAGUU
Long non-coding RNA from Paramisgurnus dabryanus, 674 nucleotides. RefSeq lists it as uncharacterized. The record is from RefSeq and is a predicted model, not a curated record. Lineage: Eukaryota; Metazoa; Chordata; Actinopteri; Cypriniformes; Cobitidae.